This 567-nucleotide ribosomal RNA is filed under the name Hebeloma aff. remyi UBC F23896. RNAcentral describes it as "eukaryotic LSU rRNA". It matches the Rfam family "Eukaryotic large subunit ribosomal RNA", at positions 1 to 567 of the family's 3401-position model. The record is from RNAcentral. Lineage: Eukaryota; Fungi; Basidiomycota; Agaricomycetes; Agaricales; Hymenogastraceae.
UUGACCUCAAAUCAGGUAGGACUACCCGCUGAACUUAAGCAUAUCAAUAAGCGGAGGAAAAGAAACUAACAAGGAUUCCCCUAGUAACUGCGAGUGAAGCGGGAAAAGCUCAAAUUUAAAAUCUGGCGGUCUCCGGCCRUCCGAGUUGUAAUCUAGAGAAGUGUUAUCCGCGCUGGACCGUGUACAAGUCUCCUGGAAUGGAGCGUCAUAGAGGGUGAGAAUCCCGUCUUUGACACGGACUGCCAGGGCUUUGUGAUGCGCUCUCAAAGAGUCGAGUUGUUUGGGAAUGCAGCUCAAAAUGGGUGGUAAAUUCCAUCUAAAGCUAAAUAUUGGCGAGAGACCGAUAGCGAACAAGUACCGUGAGGGAAAGAUGAAAAGAACUUUGGAAAGAGAGUUAAACAGUACGUGAAAUUGCUGAAAGGGAAACGCUUGAAGUCAGUCGCGUUGGCCGGGGAUCAACCUUGCUUUUGCUGGGCGUACUUUCCGGUUGACGGGUCAGCAUCAAUUUUGACCGUUGGAUAAAGUCCAGGGGAAUGUGGCAUCUUCGGAUGUGUUAUAGCCCUUGGU